RNAcentral lists this non-coding RNA (24 nucleotides) under Arabidopsis thaliana (thale cress). Lineage: Eukaryota; Viridiplantae; Streptophyta; Magnoliopsida; Brassicales; Brassicaceae. The record is from RNAcentral.
UACAUCAUAUAUUCGUCAGGGUCC